GUCCAGGGAUGGGAAUCGAACCCACAGUGUUCUGCUUACCGGGGCAGAUGCCAUGUCCACUAGGCUACCCUGGA
Cordylochernes scorpioides is the source of this 74-nucleotide non-coding RNA. NCBI's taxonomy places the organism in Eukaryota, Metazoa, Arthropoda, Arachnida, Pseudoscorpiones, Chernetidae. The record is from the annotation of a GenBank genome assembly.